This 467-nucleotide ribosomal RNA is filed under the name uncultured bacterium. RNAcentral's name for it is "partial 16S ribosomal RNA". It matches the Rfam family "Bacterial small subunit ribosomal RNA", at positions 28 to 507 of the family's 1533-position model. The record is from RNAcentral.
GAUGAACGCUGACAGAAUGCUUAACACAUGCAAGUCAACUUGAAUUUGGGUUUUUAACUUAGGUUUGGGUGGCGGACGGGUGAGUAACGCGUAAAGAACUUGCCUCACAGCUAGGGACAACAUUUGGAAACGAAUGCUAAUACCUAAUAUUAUGAUAAUAGGGCAUCCUAUAAUUAUGAAAGCUAUAAGCGCUGUGAGAGAGCUUUGCGUCCCAUUAGCUAGUUGGAGAGGUAACGGCUCACCAAGGCGAUGAUGGGUAGCCGGCCUGAGAGGGUGAUCGGCCACAAGGGGACUGAGACACGGCCCUUACUCCUACGGGAGGCAGCAGUGGGGAAUAUUGGACAAUGGACCGAGAGUCUGAUCCAGCAAUUCUGUGUGCACGAUGAAGUUUUUCGGAAUGUAAAGUGCUUUCAGUUGGGAAGAAACAAAUGACGGUACCAACAGGAGAAGUGACGGCUAAAUACGUG